Dreissena polymorpha is the source of this 174-nucleotide long non-coding RNA. RefSeq lists it as uncharacterized. The transcript is spliced from 2 exons. Lineage: Eukaryota; Metazoa; Mollusca; Bivalvia; Myida; Dreissenidae. The record is from RefSeq and is a predicted model, not a curated record.
CGUCUGAGUUUCAUGUAUGAUGUUGCGUACUACAAGCGUUCUGAAGCAUGUACCACCGACACUUGGUGCACGGAAGUCGAGGAGCAUGUGCCUUAAAAGUAAGACGAGGCCGGUUAUAAACGUUGAGGAUGCCAAGAUUUAAAAAGAAAGCGUUGCUAAGUGUGUACCGCUCUA